UCCUAGCCCUUCCUUCUCAUGGGUGACCAAGGAAUCAGAUGGCUACAGGACCAGCCCUGCAUCUCAGACACAGUGACGAGGACCCAUGCGCUGAGCACUCUGAGGCUGAACCAGAUGAACCAGCUCACCAGGAUGAGGAGGUGACCAGCAGUCGGCCUGGGGCCCUCUU
Molecule: long non-coding RNA, 169 nt
Filed under: Ictidomys tridecemlineatus (thirteen-lined ground squirrel)
Lineage: Eukaryota; Metazoa; Chordata; Mammalia; Rodentia; Sciuridae
Description: lncRNA (ENSSTOG00000031940.1)
Source: RNAcentral